This 76-nucleotide transfer RNA is filed under the name Cyanobacteria bacterium M5B4. Its description in RNAcentral is "tRNA-Gly". It matches the Rfam family "tRNA". Rfam says of the family: Transfer RNA (tRNA) molecules are approximately 80 nucleotides in length. Their secondary structure includes four short double-helical elements and three loops (D, anti-codon, and T loops). The record is from RNAcentral. Lineage: Bacteria; Bacillati; Cyanobacteriota. RNAcentral also lists the same sequence under 1 other name.
GCGGGAGUAGCUCAGUCGGUAGAGCAUCUGCUUCCCAAGCAGAGGGUCGCGAGUUCGAGUCUCGUCUCCCGCUCCA